RNAcentral lists this long non-coding RNA (1025 nucleotides) under Homo sapiens (human). Its description in RNAcentral is "HSALNT0350906". Lineage: Eukaryota; Metazoa; Chordata; Mammalia; Primates; Hominidae. The record is from RNAcentral.
GCAAUUCUCCUGCCUCAGCCUCCCAAGUAGCUGGGAUUACAGAUCAUCUCUCUACUGACCUUUUAGUGGCUUAGCAUUUUGUUGCAAUGCACAAGUGAAGUUGGGAAACAGAGCCAAGUGACAAGCUGUGAAGUAACAGCUCAGCCUUCACAAAGCAAAUGUGCUUUGUGCACUUCCUUGCCAGAGCAGAUGUGGCCUUGGUGGACUGUGGGGAGCAUCAUCUCUCAGGUAGGAAAGAGACAAAUGGAAGCAAAAUAGCAAAAUGGUGAAGAGGAGGGUUCUAGAGGCAGAGAGCCCUGCAGUCCUGAGUCCUGAGUCCACCGUUUAACAGAGUGACUUUGCUCAGCCUGUGGAUUAUAAUGAAACUUGCCUGUUAUAGGAUCCAGUUUUUUAGGUGGUAGCAACAUGCUCAAGGAAGAUGCAGCCCCUUCCUCCAGCCUGAGAGAAUAAAGCAUCAUUGGCUUAUGCCAACCAUGGCAAUCCCAUUCCCCUUUUCUCAUGAUUGAUUUGGGAAUGGGCAAGUGACCCAGUUCUAACCAAUGAGACGAAAGAAAAAGUCUAUUGGUCAGCUUAUCUCAGAAGAUUUUUGUUUCCUGCUAUAAAGAGAAACAGUAAGUUCCUUCCUGCCUGACUUAAAUGCAAUUGUGUGCAAACAUGUUACUUGGAGCUACAGCAACGAUUCUGUGACCAUGAGGCAAUAAGCCAAGGACAAAGGAUAGAAUAGUGAAAAGACAGAGUAUUGGAUUUUUUUUAUGAUAUCAUUGAACUGCUGGACCAAUGUGGAACCAUCUACUUUUAGUCUUUCAUGAUUUGUGAGAUGAUUAAACAUUUCUUUUUUUUAGCCAUUAUUUCUUUUCUGUUACUUGCAACUGAAGACAUCCUACAUAAUACAAACACUAUCCAACUUGGAUUGUAAUUUAUCUAUUUUCAGAUCUGUGUGUUCUGUCUUACUGAUUUUUGUAUUCUUAGCACUGAGUAUAAGGCUGCUACUUAGUAAGACUUCAAUAAAUGACUGUUUAAAAAGG